Molecule: long non-coding RNA, 951 nt
Filed under: Salmo salar (Atlantic salmon)
Lineage: Eukaryota; Metazoa; Chordata; Actinopteri; Salmoniformes; Salmonidae
Description: lncRNA (ENSSSAG00000110013.1)
Source: RNAcentral
GAAACAAAAGGACAUGUCCUAUGGGGACAUCUAUUGCACCCUUUUGGAACCCUUCUUUCUAAGAGUGUAGGCCUACGUACAAGUGCUGCAUGCCCCUGUACCUCGCGCGGGUGGGUAUGUGUGUGUUGGUGUGUGUAUGGGUGUGCCACCGUAGUGUGUGUGUGUGUGUGUGUGUGUGUGUGUGUGUGUGUGUGUGUGUGUGUGUGUGUGUGUGUGUGUGUGUGUGUGUGUGUGUGUGUGUGUGUGUGUGUGUGUGUGUGUGUGUCUCCAGUACAUGACUAGGGCCGAGCUCCCUGCCAUCCAGGACCUCUAUAUAAGGCGUGUGAACGGAGCGCCUGUGAUAUUGAUAAAAACUUCAGCUAGGGUUAGGAGCUAGGGUUAGGGUAAGGGUUAGGGUUAGGGUUAGGGUUAGGGUAAGGGUUAGGGUAAGGAGCUAGGGUUAGGUUUAGGGUUAGGGUAAGGAGCUAGGGUUAGGUUUAGGGUUAGGGUAAGGAGCUAGGGUUAGGUUAAGGGUAAGGAGCUAGGGUUAGGUUUAGGGUUAGGGUAAGGAGCUAGGGUUAGGUUUAGGGUAAGGAGCUAGGGUUAGGUUUAGGGUAAGGAGCUAGGGUUAGGUUUAGGGUUAGGGUAAGGAGCUAGGGUUAGGUUUAGGGUUAGGGUAAGGAGCUAGGGUUAGGUUUAGGGUUAGGAGCUAGGGUUAGGUUUAGGGUUAGGGUAAGGAGCUAGGGUUAGGUUUAGGGUUAGGAGCUAGGGUUAGGUUUAGGGUUAGGGUAAGGAGCUAGGGUUAGGUUUAGGGUUAGGGUAAGGAGCUAGGGUUAGGUUUAGGGUUAGGGUUAGGAGCUAGGGUUAGGUUUAGGGUUAGGGUAAGGAGCUAGGGUUAGGGUUAGGGUUAGGGUUACCUUGUUGUGUGUCUAUCUGUGUGUGUGUGUGUGUGUGUGUGUGUGUGUGUGUGUG